UUACACAUAUAGUUAAACAUUGCUUGAUCAGGCAUGUAACUAACACAGACUCUAUUAUAUGACAAACUAACCCACAUGAUACAUAAGGCAUUUACUAACACAUAGGAUCUAUUGUAUGGCGGACUAACCACGCGCCACUAACACAUUAACAUAUAACAUAAGAAAUCCAUUGUGUGACUUGUUUAGCUCAUGCUUAAGGCAUUUUGGUCACAACUAACGGCCAUCAAUCAUCGACUGGUGCACUCUGUAUGAACUAAAUUGAUACAGAGGAGGCUCUUAGACCAAAGCGGCCUUCUCUGUGUGUGGGUGCCUCCCUAAACCUGCAGCUCUUCAAAGCGGGGAGUGACGCACACGCACACAGAUAAUGCCACAAUGUUCAGUUCUGGCUGGACACAGUCAAGGCCAAGCACUAGUGGUCCGGUCAGACACGUGAAACGGAUUACUAACACGUGAAAUUAUGCAUACUAACAUGAGAUGAUUUUAGCAACGCCUCAUCAGCAGGUUUCACGUCAUUUGGGGUAUAAACAUGGAGUCAGAUCAGAGGGGGGUCAGAACUUAUACUGGGACGGCUGUUAGACGGUCUUUCAUGUGUGGGUUCUCCUGAAUAUUCAGCACUUUGUAAUAAAUGCUUGGUUUGCUUUCAACUUCA
Astyanax mexicanus (Mexican tetra) is the source of this 649-nucleotide long non-coding RNA. RefSeq lists it as uncharacterized. NCBI's taxonomy places the organism in Eukaryota, Metazoa, Chordata, Actinopteri, Characiformes, Acestrorhamphidae. The transcript is spliced from 2 exons. The record is from RefSeq and is a predicted model, not a curated record.